GACGAACGCUGGCGGCGUGCUUAACACAUGCAAGUCGAACGGAAAGGCCUGCUUUCCCUUGUGGAUUGCGGGUACUCGAGUGGCGAACGGGUGAGUAACACGUGAGUGAUCUGCCCCCAACUUGGUUAUAAGCCUGGGAAACUGGGUCUAAUUCCCGAUAGGACUGCAGGGUGGUGCCUGUGGUGGAAAACGAGUUUCUAGUGGUUGGGGAUGAGCUCGCGGCCUAUCAGCUUGUUGGUGGGGUAAUGGCCUACCAAGGCGGCGACGGGUAGCCGGCCUGAGAGGGUGGACGGCCACAUUGGGACUGAGAUACGGCCCAGACUCCUACGGGCGGCAGCAGUGGGGAAUAUUGCAGCAUGAGCGGAAGCGUGAUGCAGCGACGCAGCGUGGGGGAUGACGGCAUUCGGGUUGUAAACUCCUUUCGACCGCGAGGAAGCCACCUGGUUGGAAGGGUGGUGACGGUAGUGGUAGAAGAAGCACCGGCUAACUACGUG
This 494-nucleotide ribosomal RNA is filed under the name uncultured bacterium. Its description in RNAcentral is "partial 16S ribosomal RNA". It matches the Rfam family "Bacterial small subunit ribosomal RNA", at positions 28 to 507 of the family's 1533-position model. The record is from RNAcentral.